UUAGCAUGGAAUAAUAGAAUAGGACGUUGUGGUUCUAUUUUGUUGGUUCAAGGACCACCGUAAUGAUUAAUAGGGAUAGUUGGGGGCAUUAGUAUUCAAUUGUCAGAGGUGAAAUUCUUGGAUUUAUUGAAGACUAACUACUGCGAAAGCAUUUGCCAAGGAUGUUUUCAUUAAUCAAGAACGAAAGUUAGGGGAUCGAAGACGAUCAGAUACCGUCGUAGUCUUAACCAUAAACUAUGCCGACUAGGGAUCGGACGAUGUUAACUUUUCUUGACUCGUUCGGCGCCUUAC
This 291-nucleotide ribosomal RNA is filed under the name uncultured Glomeromycotina. RNAcentral describes it as "partial 18S ribosomal RNA". It matches the Rfam family "Eukaryotic small subunit ribosomal RNA", at positions 804 to 1091 of the family's 1831-position model. The record is from RNAcentral. Lineage: Eukaryota; Fungi; Glomeromycota.